Molecule: ribosomal RNA, 465 nt
Filed under: uncultured bacterium
Lineage: Bacteria
Description: partial 16S ribosomal RNA
Rfam family: Bacterial small subunit ribosomal RNA
Source: RNAcentral
GAUGAACGCUGGCGGCGUGCUUAACACAUGCAAGUCGAACGGAAAGGCUCCUGCUUGCAGGGGUACUCGAGUGGCGAACGGGUGAGUAACACGUGGGUGAUCUGCCCUGCACUUCGGGAUAAGCCUGGGAAACUGGGUCUAAUACCGGAUAGGACCACAUUUUGGAUGGUGUGGUGGAAAGUUUUUCGGUGUGGGAUGAGCUCGCGGCCUAUCAGCUUGUUGGUGGGGUAAUGGCCUACCAAGGCGUCGACGGGUAGCCGGCCUGAGAGGGUGUACGGCCACAUUGGGACUGAGAUACGGCCCAGACUCCUACGGGAGGCAGCAGUGGGGAAUAUUGCACAAUGGGAGCAAGCCUGAUGCAGCGACGCCGCGUGGGGGAUGACGGCCUUCGGGUUGUAAACUCCUUUCGCUAGGGACGAAGCGCAAGUGACGGUACCUGGAGAAGAAGCACCGGCUAACUACGUG